Molecule: ribosomal RNA, 76 nt
Filed under: Haemophilus influenzae
Lineage: Bacteria; Pseudomonadati; Pseudomonadota; Gammaproteobacteria; Pasteurellales; Pasteurellaceae
Also listed under: 7 other names
Description: partial 16S ribosomal RNA
Rfam family: Bacterial small subunit ribosomal RNA
Source: RNAcentral
CACGGUAUGAUUCAUGACUGGGGUGAAGUCGUAACAAGGUAACCGUAGGGGAACCUGCGGUUGGAUCACCUCCUUA